Molecule: ribosomal RNA, 404 nt
Filed under: uncultured bacterium
Lineage: Bacteria
Description: partial 16S ribosomal RNA
Rfam family: Bacterial small subunit ribosomal RNA
Source: RNAcentral
GACGACGCUGGCGGCGUGCUUAACACAUGCAAGUCGAACGAGUGGCGAACGGGUGAGUAACGCGUAUCAACCUGCCCUUCAGAGGGGGAUAACUACUGGAAACGGUAGCUAAUACCGCAUACCAUCGGAUGUGACCAGCUGGGAUUAGCUAGUAGGUGGGGGAAAGCCUCACCUAGGCGACGAUCCCUAGCUGGUUUGAGAGGAUGACCAGCCACACUGGAACUGGAACACGGUCCAUACUCCUACGUGAGGCAGCAGUGGGGAAUAUUGAACAAUGGGCGCAAGCCUGAUGCAGCCAUGCCGCGUGUAUGAAGAAGGCCUUCGGGUUGUAAAGUACUUUCAGCGGGGAGGCGUUACCCGCAGAAGAAGCACCGGCUAACUCCGUGCCAGCAGCCGCGGUAUAC